This 381-nucleotide long non-coding RNA is filed under the name Helianthus annuus (common sunflower). RNAcentral's name for it is "sRNA HanXRQr2_Chr13g0600861". The record is from RNAcentral. Lineage: Eukaryota; Viridiplantae; Streptophyta; Magnoliopsida; Asterales; Asteraceae.
UUUGAUUAUGCAUAUGGAGAUUUAUCAUUCAACUAUGGAUUUGGGGAUCAUCCGUUUCAAUUCCAGUGAUAUAAACAUUGCAGAUUCAAACAAAAAAUGGAUCCCAAAUAUCGAUUAGUCAUCAAUGACGGAUUGUUUUUUGCGAAUGUUGUGAUAUAAGUUGUUUUCGUAAAUGAUUCAGCAACGAUUUUGGUGAAAGUGAACGGAGAGUCAAGUGUUCAACCUAUUACGGACCAAAAUGAUGAGGCUGUGACCCCCAACUUCUAUCACUCACCACGUGGGACCAAGUAUUGGAUUCCUAAUGUUCCUACACCUUUGAAACCUGCUACCGGAAUGGUGUUUGGGAGAUGGGAAGACGCUGUUACCUUGUACCAAGAUUAU